RNAcentral lists this non-coding RNA (155 nucleotides) under Orbilia oligospora ATCC 24927. RNAcentral describes it as "Arthrobotrys oligospora ATCC 24927 Eukaryotic large subunit ribosomal RNA". It matches the Rfam family "Eukaryotic large subunit ribosomal RNA", at positions 2441 to 2600 of the family's 3401-position model. The record is from Rfam by way of RNAcentral. Lineage: Eukaryota; Fungi; Ascomycota; Orbiliomycetes; Orbiliales; Orbiliaceae.
GUGAAGAGACAUAUGAGGUGUAGAAUAGGAGGGAGCUUCGGCGCCGGUGAAAUACCUCCACUCGUACUGUUUCUUUACUUAUUCAUUGAAGCGGAACUGGGUUUCACCGCCCAACUUCUAGCGUUAAGGUCCUUCGCGGGCUGAUCCGGGAUGAA